Long non-coding RNA from Thunnus maccoyii (southern bluefin tuna), 639 nucleotides. RefSeq lists it as uncharacterized. The record is from RefSeq and is a predicted model, not a curated record. The transcript is spliced from 3 exons. NCBI's taxonomy places the organism in Eukaryota, Metazoa, Chordata, Actinopteri, Scombriformes, Scombridae.
CUGGACAAACUUCCCUCUACACUGUCAGAGAUGGAGAUGAUGCCACUUUGCCUUGUGAAAAUGUGGUGACUGUUCAGGAUAAAUGUGGCAGUACUUCCUGGAUCUUUGUUUCAAAAAGAAAAGCAGUAGAGCUGAUUAGACUUGGACAGAUUGGUGAAAAAGUCAAAGAUCAAUCAGACAGACUGAGUGUUACAGCGAACGGUUCUCUGGUUAUAAAGAAGGUCACAGUUGAGGAUGUUGGUGCUUACACCUGCAGACAGUACAAAUCAGGGCAACAACAAGGUCAAGACUAUCGGGUUGAUCUGUCUGUUGUUACCAUGACUGAACAUAAGGACAAUGAUAAGGUGAUGUUAAACUGCACUGUGUUGACACGUGGAGAGUGUGACCAGACAGUGAAGUGGGUGUAUGAGGGUAAUGAUUGGGAUGUGAACAUUCAGCACAUGAAUGAGUCACAGUCUUCUUGCUUUGCCACUGUGACAUUUACAACUUCCCAUCUUGCUGAGACGUCAAAGUAUUCUGAGUCAUUCAAGUGUAACGUGACAGAUUUUUACACUGGAAAAGUGCAUCUGUUUGCCUUCAGCCCUCAGUCUUCAGGUGAGGACACUACAACAACAAAAUCAACAAAAACAACAAAAUUAC